This 367-nucleotide transfer-messenger RNA is filed under the name Candidatus Caldipriscus sp. It matches the Rfam family "transfer-messenger RNA". Rfam says of the family: Bacterial tmRNA, also known as 10Sa RNA or SsrA, is named for its dual tRNA and mRNA-like properties. Lineage: Bacteria; Candidatus Caldipriscota. The record is from RNAcentral.
GGGGGCGAAAGGGUUUCGACGGCAGGUGAAACACCGCGGGAUGCAGGCCGGGGCGGGCAACCCCGUCAACAAGCCCAAGAACCAAAAUAAGUGCGAACGCGAAUUACGCCCUGGCGGCCUAAUUGACCGCCACCUCUUCCGGGAAGCUCCCCACCCGGCUCCCGGGAGGGGUCGGUUAGGGUGGGGUUCCCCUAAGGGUUUUCCCGUUUUCCCGAGGGGGAACUAGAUAAAAACGGGCGUCCCCAUCUCGGGAAGCGCCCCGAUGCCCAUGGGAUGGGGCGAAUCCAAAAGAAGGGGCUAAGCCUGUAACACAUCCCGCGGCGAGUAACCUGUACGGACGCGGGUUCGAUUCCCGCCGCCUCCACUU